GGGCCCGUGGCCUAGACUGGUUAUGGCGCCCGGCUGAUAACCGGGAGGUCGCGGGUUCGAGUCCCGCCGGGCCCACCA
Molecule: transfer RNA, 78 nt
Filed under: Thermofilum sp.
Lineage: Archaea; Thermoproteati; Thermoproteota; Thermoprotei; Thermofilales; Thermofilaceae
Also listed under: 3 other names
Description: tRNA-Ile
Rfam family: tRNA
About the family: Transfer RNA (tRNA) molecules are approximately 80 nucleotides in length.
Source: RNAcentral